This 59-nucleotide transfer RNA is filed under the name Ictidomys tridecemlineatus (thirteen-lined ground squirrel). Its description in RNAcentral is "Spermophilus tridecemlineatus (thirteen-lined ground squirrel) tRNA". It matches the Rfam family "tRNA", at positions 7 to 64 of the family's 71-position model. Rfam says of the family: Transfer RNA (tRNA) molecules are approximately 80 nucleotides in length. Lineage: Eukaryota; Metazoa; Chordata; Mammalia; Rodentia; Sciuridae. The record is from Rfam by way of RNAcentral.
GUGGCUCAGUGGUAGAGUGCUCACCUAGCACGUGUGAGGCCCUGGGUUUGAUCCUCAGC